Molecule: small nucleolar RNA, 100 nt
Filed under: Oryza sativa (Asian cultivated rice)
Lineage: Eukaryota; Viridiplantae; Streptophyta; Magnoliopsida; Poales; Poaceae
Description: Z190 small nucleolar RNA
Source: RNAcentral
GGUUUCUUGAUGAGAUUAGUUUCUGACCAAGUAGCUGAAUUUCGUUAGCAACAUAUCGUUUUGUAAGCUUUGCGCAUGAAACCUUGUUAUCUGAAUAUUU